Molecule: ribosomal RNA, 428 nt
Filed under: uncultured bacterium
Lineage: Bacteria
Description: partial 16S ribosomal RNA
Rfam family: Bacterial small subunit ribosomal RNA
Source: RNAcentral
GUGGGGAAUAUUGGGCAAUGGGCGCAAGCCUGACCCAGCAACGCCGCGUGAAGGAAGAAGGCUUUCGGGUUGUAAACUUCUUUUACCAGGGACGAAAAAAAUGACGGUACCUGGAGAAUAAGCCACGGCUAACUACGUGCCAGCAGCCGCGGUAAUACGUAGGUGGCAAGCGUUGUCCGGAUUUACUGGGUGUAAAGUGCGCGUAGGCGGGAGAGCAAGUCAGGAGUGAAAUCUAUGGGCUUAACCCAUAAAUUGCUUUUGAAACUGUUUUUCUUGAGUGAUGGAGAGGCAAGCGGAAUACCUAGUGUAGCGGUGAAAUGCGUAGAUAUUAGGAGGAACACCAGUGGCGAAGGCGGCUUGCUGGACAUUAACUGACGCUGAUGCGCGAAAGCGUGGGGAGCAAACAGGAUUAGAAACCCGGGUAGUCC